This 302-nucleotide long non-coding RNA is filed under the name Capsella rubella. RNAcentral describes it as "long non-coding RNA (CRUB_LNC001015)". Lineage: Eukaryota; Viridiplantae; Streptophyta; Magnoliopsida; Brassicales; Brassicaceae. The record is from RNAcentral.
AAAAAUCCAGCAGGGAGAGUUGUGGGGAUCCCAACAACUGAUAAUGCUGAGGAUGAUGAGACCGAAGAAGAGCCAGAAAGCGAGAGUUUGGAUGGGUUUAUUGUUGAUGAUGAUGAUGAUGAUGAUGAUGAUGAUGAUGAUGGUGAUGAUGAUGGUGAUGAUGAUGGUGAUGAUGAUGAUGGUGAUGAUGAUGGUGAUGAUGAUGAUACUCAAGAGACUGUCAGUGAACACUCAGAUGAAACCAAGGAAGAAGAAUCUGAUGGAGGAGCCGGUUAUGCUGAAGUCAUGUCAAGGUUGAGGAG